AGAGUUUGAUCCUGGCUCAGAACGAACGCUGGCGGCGUGCUUAACACAUGCAAGUCGAACGCGAAAGUUUUCUCCGGAAAGCGAGUAGAGUGGCGCACGGGUGAGUAACGCGUAAAUAAUCUACCCUGAUGUCUGGGAUAACCAGCCGAAAGGCUGACUAAUACCGGCUAUAUGGUUAACUGUUGGGUUAACCAGGAAAGGUGGCCUCUUCUUGAAAGCUAUCGCAUUGGGAUGAGUUUGCGUACCAUUAGCUAGUUGGUGGGGUAACGGCCCACCAAGGCGACGAUGGUUAGCGGGUCUGAGAGGAUGAUCCGUCACACUGGCACUGGAACACGGGCCAGACUCCUACGGGAGGCAGCAGUGAGGAAUAUUGCGCAAUGGGGGAAACCCUGACGCAGCGACGCCGCGUGAGUGAGGAAGGCCUUCGGGUCGUAAAGCUCUGUCAGAUGGGAAGAAGUGUAUUGCGGUUAAUACCCGUAGUAUUUGACGGUACCAUCAGAGGAAGCACCGGCUAACUCCGUGCCAGCAGCCGCGGUAAUACGGAGGGUGCGAGCGUUGUUCGGAAUCACUGGGCGUAAAGGGCGCGCAGGCGGUUUGUUUAGUCAGAUGUGAAAGCCCACGGCUUAACCGUGGAAGUGCAUUUGAAACUACCAGACUUGAGUACGGGAGAGGAGGGGGGAAUUCCCGGUGUAGAGGUGAAAUUCGUAGAUAUCGGGAGGAAUACCAGUGGCGAAGGCGCCCCUCUGGACCGAUACUGACGCUGAGACGCGAAAGCGUGGGGAGCAAACAGGAUUAGAUACCCUGGUAGUCCACGCCGUAAACGAUGAGCACUAGGUGUAGCGGGUAUUGACCCCUGCUGUGCCGUA
Molecule: ribosomal RNA, 866 nt
Filed under: uncultured bacterium
Lineage: Bacteria
Description: bacterial SSU rRNA
Rfam family: Bacterial small subunit ribosomal RNA
Source: RNAcentral